RNAcentral lists this ribosomal RNA (328 nucleotides) under uncultured eukaryote. RNAcentral describes it as "partial 18S ribosomal RNA". It matches the Rfam family "Eukaryotic small subunit ribosomal RNA", at positions 1470 to 1796 of the family's 1831-position model. The record is from RNAcentral.
CCCUUAGAUGUCCUGGGCCGCACGCGCGUUACACUGAUGCAUUCAACGAGCUUAUAACCUUGGCCGAGAGGCCUGGGCAAUCUUGUUAACGUGCAUCGUGAUAGGGAUAGAUUAUUGAAAUUAUUAAUCUUGAACGAGGAAUUCCUAGUAAACGCAGAUCAUCAAUCUGCAUUGAUUACGUCCCUGCCCUUUGUACACACCGCCCGUCGCACCUACCGAUUGGAUGGUCCGGUGAAGCCUCGGGAUUGUGGUUCUUGCCGCUUUAUUGUGGCGUGACCCCGAGAACUUGUCUAAACCUUAUCAUCUAGAGGAAGGUGAAGUCGUAACA